RNAcentral lists this long non-coding RNA (5214 nucleotides) under Homo sapiens (human). RNAcentral describes it as "PREDICTED lncRNA (TCONS_00273659)". Lineage: Eukaryota; Metazoa; Chordata; Mammalia; Primates; Hominidae. The record is from RNAcentral.
CUUUUAUUGUGAAAACUGAGUAAGAUAAGCCAUGUUAUAUGCUGAUACAGUGCCUAGCAAUAGUGAAUGCCUCCAAAACUUUAGCUGUUACAUCAUCUCAUCACCAUCAUCAUUAGUGUGAAAACUUCCUGACCCCUCAAGAGGGGAUGAGGCGCUGUAUGCAUUUCCAGUACAAGUAUUCCACCUUUUAUAACAUCUAUCAUGGUUUACUACACAUUGUCACCUUUACCUUUCUGCUUCUUGACUAAAUCUUAAACUAAACUCUCUAGUUGGAGGUUUGGCAGUUGUAUCCCCAAACUAGAGUGCCCUGGAUGGCACAGAAUGUUGUAGCUAUGCAACUCACCAAUUUUGCUGGUCCCUGUGAUCAGAAUUUACGCUGAGAAUUGCUGCCCGUUCUGAAAGCAUCAGUGUUUAAGUUGUUGUAACAUUUCUUCUGAAUCAGACCAGACUUUCACUUCAGAACAAUAAGUAACAAUUCCUUCUAAGAAAUCUCGGCUCACUGCAACCUCCGCCUCCUGGGCUCAAGCGAUUCUUCUGCCUCAGCCUCCUGCGUAGCUGGGAUUACAGGUGCAUGCCACAACCACCUGGCUAAUUUUUGUAUUUUUUAGUAGAGACGGGGUUUCACCAUAUUGGCCAGGCUGUUCUCGAACUCUUGACCUCCGGUAAUCUGCCCGCCUCGGCCUCCCAAAAUGCUGGGAUUACAGGCAUGAGCCACCGCACCCGGCCAUAGAUUUUUUAGUGAGUUAGAAAUGAAUGUAAAUUUCCUUUUAUAGGAGUUAGACAUUUAUUUUUAACAAUUAACCACUGAAUUCAUUUUCAGAAAUAGGCCUGAAUUGCUUGUUAAUUUCAUUACAGGAAGUAACUCUAAAAGCCAAUUCCACUUCCAAACUAUAAUUACCAUCAUCUGAAUUUAACAGGGAAAGACAUCUUCCAAGACUUCUUUUGGGCGGAUGCUUAGUUUUAGAAUAGCCAACUUUACCCUAACCCAUGUACAAGACAGUUCUCCAGGUGGCCUUGGACUGACCCAGUUCUCCCUUCUUCCUUGCUUGUAGUUCUUAAGAAUAACUGUAGAAUGCACUGGGAAUGCAAUAUCCUGAUAUGGAGGAACUGCCUGAAACAGGUUGGCCUUGUUGUUGUCCCUCCUAGGGAAUGUAACAUCUUGAUUUAGGGAACUGUUUGAGACAGCGAGGUUGUGUUCCUCUUUCCCCUGGAAGGAGGAUGUACUUUAAAGCUUUGCCCAAUGAGUUAUGUGGCUCCUAUGGUAUAUAACCCAAGGCAGGCUGUGGUGCAAGUGGGGCACGUACAAUCAAGACUCCAUCAGCCCCGCCCUGGGCAGCUUUCUUGAGCCCUGGGGGACUGGCUCACAAUGGAGCCAGGGCCUCUUUUGUCCCUUGCUUCCUGUCUGUAAGUAAUAAAUCUGCUUCAUGUAAUGUAUUGGGUGUGAGUGUGUUCUGUCACAAUGGAAUCAGACAGGUUGGUAACCAGUGUACACUGAACCUGCUUGGCACCAUGUAGCCCUGGGAAAGGAGAAAGGCGGUCACAGCUUGCCCUAUAUGGUGAUGCCAGCACACUGUGCACUGUACUGUGCAACAGAAAAAGGUGCACUGAGGAGGAUCGGCUGCUUCUUCCCAUUGUUGCUUCUUUAGUAAAUCCCCUAUGAGUUUUUAGUCGCUUUCUAAUCUACAAGUUAAAGGAUAUCUCAUUAAUUUUACAGAUAUAUACAUAUACUGUAACAAUAGGAAGGAAGUCUUUCACCAACCACUAAUACUGUAAAGAAAGCAUUGUAUCGAUCUAGUAUUAUUUAAUGAAGACGGACAGCAAUUUUAAUACAAUCUUCUUUUCCAAGACCUUUGACAGACCUUAGGCCCAUUUUCCACCUUUAUGUCUAGGAAAGUAUAAGUAAAACACUUUUGAGGGCAUAAAAAACACAAGCUUCUUGUUAAGGUGUAUCAGUAGCCAGGGAAAUCUGCUGUGCCCCUUUGAGGGUCAUCUAACUAAGGCAUGGAGAAAGAAACUGCCUCAAGUCAGUUUCUAUCACCUCUGCAGGGAAGCUGGCCAUGCAAACCAGGACAUGGUUCAAAGUGAAAAAGAGUGUGGUUAAUAAUCAUGCCAGAACACCAGGUAUAAGAUGUAAGGGCAAGUCAGGCAUUCUGUACAUUGCUUCUCCCUUCAGUUUGGAAAACUCACUGCAGUAGGGUUUUGACUUAUCGUUUCACAAGACAGCUAGGAAGGCCAGGCACAGUGGCUCACACCUGUAAUCCCAGCACUUUGGGAGGCCAAGACGGGUGGAUCACGAGGUCAGAUCGAGACCAUCCUGGUUAACACGGUGAAACCCUGUCUCUACUUAAAAUACAAAAAAUAGCCGGGUGUGGUGGCGGGCGCCUGUAGUCCCAGCUACUCAGGAGGCUGAGGCAGGAGAAUGGCGUGAACCCGGGAGGCGGAGCUUGCAGUGAGCCGAGAUCGCGCCACUGCACUCCAGCCCGGGUGACAGCGCGACUCUGUCUCAAAAAAAUAAAAAAAAUAAAAAAAAAUAAAAAACAAGACAGCUAGGAGGAAAGCCUGUAUGCUUUGGAAAAUGCAUAUCUUGUGUGUUUACCCUUUUAAAGGUAACUAUACUUUGAAACAGGUGAACUGCAGAAAGUUAACAAAGACUUCUUUUUUUACCAUGUUUACCUUUCUAAGAAUUCUAUGCAUUUCCUAGGGCAUACAUGCAAAAGCCUUCACAUUUCCCCCUUUUUAAAAGAGAUAUUUCUCAAACUUAUACGUAUACAGUUCAGUAGUGUUAAGUACAAUCACACUUGUUUUGCAACAGAUCUCUAGAAUUCUUGCAACACAAGCUCUGUACCCACUAAAUACAAAUUCACCCUCUCCCCUUCCCCCAACCGUUGCUUGGCAACCACCUUUCUACUUUCUAUUGUAUGAUUUUGACUACUUUGCAUACUUCACAUGGAGGAAUCAUAUAGCAUUUGUUCUUUUGUUGGCUGGCUUAUUUCACUUGGCAUAAUGCCUUCAAGGUUCAUCCACAUUGUACAUUUGACAGGAUUUCCUUCUUUUUAAAGGCUGAAUAAUAUUCCAUUGACUGUAUAUACCACAUUUCCUUUAUCUAUUCAUCUGUUGAUGGACAUUUGGGAUGCUUCCAGAACCUCUUGGCUAUUGUGAAUAAUGCUGCUAUGAACAUGGGUGUACAAAUAUCUCUUUGAGAUCCCGCUUUGGUGGUAAUUCUUAUGGUAAUUCUGUUUUCAGUUAUUUGGGAAACCUGUGUACUGUUUUCCGUAAUGACUGCACCGUUUUACAUUACCACCAACAGUGCACAAGGGUUUCAACUUCUCUGCAUCCUCCCCAAUACUUGUUAUUUUUUUGUUCUUCUGAUAGUGGCCAUCAUGAUGGGCGUGAGACGAUAUCUCAUUGUGGUUUUGAUUUGCAUUUCCCUAAUAAUUGGCAAUGUUGAGCAUAUUUUCAUGUUCUUAUUGGCCAAUUGUAUAACUUCUUUGGAGAAAUGUCUGUGCAAGUCCUUUGCCCAUUUUUAAAAAUUGAGUUAUUUGGUUUUUUGUUGUUGAGUUGUAGAAGUUCCUCAUAUAUUCUGGAUUUGGGCUCCUUAUAAGAUAGACGAUUUGCAAUUAUUUUCUCUCAUUCUAGAGCUUGCGUUUUCACUUUGUUGAUUGCUUCCUUUGACACACAGACAUUUUUAAGUUUGAUGUAGUCCCGUUUCCUUCCUAACGAUCUUUAAGUGUACAGUUCAGUAGUGUUAAGUAUAUUCAUCCAACCCUAUCUUGCAGACCAGAUGACAAACAUAUUAAUGAAAGAAAUACUACCAGUCAUUGACGCAACAGAGUCUGAACAUAGGCUUAGAGGCAUUCAGAAACAUUCCAAGAUAUUUAUAAGCAAGAGCCACAGGAGCAUGAAUUCCUCAGAAUAUGUAGAAUUAUCUAGAUUUUAGCCUAUCUGACAAGUUUCUCUCCCUAUUACCAUAACAAAAGUCUUUUAAACCACUGUAUAAACUGAGAUAUUUAAGUUAAUCACCUGCCUUGCAAAGAACCUUGACUAAUGAGUAAAUAAAGUUCAGACAGUUGUAAAGGGAAGACGGGAUAGCUCUUUCACUGUAGAAAACAUUAUCAUUAUAUACUAUGUAACAGCGUGCAAAUAAUACAAAAUAAUAAUAUAAACUAUAGGCUAUUAGAUUACUAGUCCUUUGAAAAAUAUUUCUGGAAGGCCGGGCAUUUUCUUUAAAAUGUUCUGCAUAUAUUUCCUAUAUGAUCAGACCUUUAAGCAAAAUAUCUGAUCUUCGGAAAUGCAAAGGGAUUUCUGGGUAUAGGAAAAGUCUUGUUUUCUUAUAAUUACAAAAUAUAUUUUCUACAUCAUAAACUGAUAGUAAGUAAGCAUAUCAUGUCCUUGUAACAACUAAACACUGGGGCAAAUAUACUGACUGAUAAGCCCUUAUGAAAGAAUACACAUUCAUGUUAUAAAAUAAAAUACAUCUAAAACCAUGGCCAAUAUUCAGCCAGGAAGUACCAGUCUGGGCCCAUAGGCUGUUUCUGCAAGGCCUGAGUUCUGGUCAGUGUCUGUGCCUUACCACAUGUUAAAAAUUUUGAUUAUAAUCCCUAUGUAUAGUGCUAUAGAACCACUAAUGGAUAAACAUAAAAAGAUAGCUCAAAAAUGUCAGACAUAAAAAGAUAUUACAAGCUGGGCCAGGCGGCCAGCACCUGUAGCCCCAGCUACUCUAGAGGCUAAGGCAGGAGGACUGCUUGAGCCUAGGAGUUCAAGGCUGCAGUGAGCUAUCAUUUGGCCACUGCACUCUAGCCUGGGCAGCAGAGCAAGACCUAGUCUCUUAAAGAAAAAAAAAAGGCAUUACAAUUACCAACAGGUAUCUGUAAGAGAAACUUGUGUCUCUUGCUGGUACCGAAUAGCCUUCCUCAAAGACUGAUGAAGCACUCUCAUGCUAAGAAAUGCACAUCUGUAAAUAUUAUCAAAUGCAGGCACUUAGAAUAGUCUAGUUAACAAUUUAUAGUAAGCUAGUAUAUAUUAAAGCAAAAGCAAAAUACUGCCUAGAUAUGAAUGUUUUAGGGGGUUGCUUGGCUGGUGGCCGGCUUGGGUUUCGCUUGUACAUUCAGCACAUAAUCAUGCCGGAAGGAUGAACGAACAGUGCGAUUCAUCAGUGGCUGAAGGGGGCGGAAGUUGUCCACCAUUCUUUUCUCUUUCUCCCCUUCGGAAGUGAAA